AUAUUCCUGCAGUAAGUAUGGAGCAUAUUACAUGGGCGCACAGACGGACUAUAAAUCUUCUGGCGAGGAUGUCAAAGUAAGUAUGAGUUGUGCAUAUCUGUCUUGACUAAUAGCCUGAGUUUUCCUUGGCAAAAAAAAAAAAAAAAAAAGAUUAAAAAAUAAAAUGCUGCAACAAAGAGCCAUUUGAUUCGAACUCGACCGGUCACUGACCCUUGUAAUUUCAAUCUGUAUCUUCUUUACUAGAUUCUUGAAUCGUAGAGACUUUCAAAACAGCAAUGUGUACAAGAGCCUGAAUAUCCCGAAACUCGGUUCAAUAGGUAGUGCUGUGUAAACGCAAAGCCUUCUGUCCAUAUUUGUGCAAGAAAACACUUAUCAGCCAUAGGAAAAAAUUAUUCAUCUACAGUGUUAGUCAGCAAUUCCCAUAGGAAUGGUACUGAUUGUUGAAUUAAUUGACAUCAGUAUCGACGAUAUACUAAGGAUAAUAAUGGGAGGGUCACGGAUAUCAUAGUUGGAAACAACAUAAUGUUGCCUUAAGACUGGAUAGUCCAAUGCUUCAAAUUCAUUCGGUAUUUAGGCUGAUACUUUCGUCAUGAAUGUCAUUACCAUAAAGUCUGAUGUCGGAGAAACUGAAAAUAUUAACAUUGGUUCGUUUCUUCAAACAUGCCACAACAUAUGGAUCGGACAAUGAUAUUCUGAACUGUAAGAUUCAGUGGCCGGUUGAUUCGACAUAACUGGCCCUUGAUACAUGCAUCGAUAAUUGUGCACAAUAAAAAUGCUUUAAAAACUUUGCUUGUAUGAAUAUCACAAUUAACCCGUAUGAUUGCAGCAACAAUAAUCAAAUCUUACGGCAAAGUAUUUACGUUCCCUAGCCUCGAGUAUUUCCUUAGUGGUAUUGAAAUCCCAUUCCGGUCUCUUUGGCAUGUCAA
Molecule: long non-coding RNA, 926 nt
Organism: Neodiprion fabricii
Lineage: Eukaryota; Metazoa; Arthropoda; Insecta; Hymenoptera; Diprionidae
Exons: 2
Source: RefSeq, a predicted model, not a curated record